Molecule: ribosomal RNA, 1000 nt
Filed under: uncultured organism
Description: bacterial SSU rRNA
Rfam family: Bacterial small subunit ribosomal RNA
Source: RNAcentral
UGGGGGAUAUUGCGCAAUGGGGGCAACCCUGACGCAGCAACGCCGCGUGAAGGAUGAAGGUUUUCGGAUUGUAAACUUCUUUUAUUAAGGACGAAACUUGACGGUACUUAAUGAAUAAGCUCCGGCUAACUACGUGCCAGCAGCCGCGGUAAUACGUAGGGAGCAAGCGUUGUCCGGAUUUACUGGGUGUAAAGGGUGCGUAGGCGGCUUUGCAAGUCAGAUGUGAAAUCUAUGGGCUCAACCCAUAAACUGCAUUUGAAACUGUAGAGCUUGAGUGAAGUAGAGGCAGGCGGAAUUCCCCGUGUAGCGGUGAAAUGCGUAGAGAUGGGGAGGAACACCAGUGGCGAAGGCGGCCUGCUGGGCUUUAACUGACGCUGAGGCACGAAAGCGUGGGUAGCAAACAGGAUUAGAUACCCUGGUAGUCCACGCUGUAAACGAUGAUUACUAGGUGUGGGGGGUCUGACCCCUUCCGUGCCGGAGUUAACACAAUAAGUAAUCCACCUGGGGAGUACGGCCGCAAGGUUGAAACUCAAAGGAAUUGACGGGGGCCCGCACAAGCAGUGGAGUAUGUGGUUUAAUUCGAAGCAACGCGAAGAACCUUACCAGGUCUUGACAUCCAACUAACGAAGUAGAGAUACAUUAGGUGCCCUUCGGGGAAAGUUGAGACAGGUGGUGCAUGGUUGUCGUCAGCUCGUGUCGUGAGAUGUUGGGUUAAGUCCCGCAACGAGCGCAACCCUUGCUAUUAGUUGCUACGCAAGAGCACUCUAAUAGGACUGCCGUUGACAAAACGGAGGAAGGUGGGGACGACGUCAAAUCAUCAUGCCCCUUAUGACCUGGGCUACACACGUACUACAAUGGAUGUUAACAGAGGGAAGCAAGACAGCGAUGUGGAGCAAACCCCUAAAAACAUUCUCAGUUCAGAUUGCAGGCUGCAACCCGCCUGCAUGAAGAUGGAAUUGCUAGUAAUCGCGGAUCAGCAUGCCGCGGCGAAUACGUUCCC